GACGAACGCUGGCGGCGUGCUUAACACAUGCAAGUCGAACGAAGAGCGAUGGAAGCUUGCUUCUAUCAAUCUUAGUGGCGAACGGGUGAGUAACGCGUAAUCAACCUGCCCUUCAGAGGGGGACAACAGUUGGAAACGACUGCUAAUACCGCAUACGAUCUAAUCUCGGCAUCGAGGAUAGAUGAAAGGUGGCCUCUACAUGUAAGCUAUCACUGAAGGAGGGGAUUGCGUCUGAUUAGCUAGUUGGAGGGGUAACGGCCCACCAAGGCGAUGAUCAGUAGCCGGUCUGAGGGGAUGAACGGCCACAUUGGGACUGAGACACGGCCCAGACUCCUACGGGAGGCAGCAGUGGGGAAUCUUCCGCAAUGGACGAAAGUCUGACGGAGCAACGCCGCGUGAGUGAUGACGGCCUUCGGGUUGUAAAGCUCUGUUAAUCGGGACGAAAGGCCUUCUUGCGAAUAGUGAGAAGGAUGACGG
Molecule: ribosomal RNA, 477 nt
Filed under: uncultured bacterium
Lineage: Bacteria
Description: bacterial SSU rRNA
Rfam family: Bacterial small subunit ribosomal RNA
Source: RNAcentral